This 380-nucleotide unclassified non-coding RNA is filed under the name soil metagenome. Its description in RNAcentral is "partial contains 5.8S ribosomal RNA, internal transcribed spacer 2, and large subunit ribosomal RNA". The stretch from base 1 to 120 matches the Rfam family "5.8S ribosomal RNA", at positions 35 to 154 of the family's 154-position model. The record is from RNAcentral.
GAUGAAGAACGUAGCGAAAUGCGAUAAGUAAUGUGAAUUGCAGAAUUCAGUGAAUCAUCGAAUCUUUGAACGCACCUUGCACCCUUUGGCAUUCUGAAGGGUAUGCUCGUUUGAGUGUCAUUGUACUCUCACACUCCCGAUCUUUGCAUUGGGAGCAGUGGACUUGGGUUUGCUGCUUCACCGUCGCUUACCUCAAAUAGGUUAGUGUAACUCUUGGUUGGACAUAGUACGGCGUGAUAAGUGUUCUUCGCCGGUGCCUCGCAAAGAGGGUGGCCGAUCGGGAUGUUGUGCUCCAAACCGUCUUCGGACAAUCUCUGACGACUUGACCUCAAAUCGAGUAAGACUACCCGCUGAACUUAAGCAUAUCAAUAAGCGGAGGA